This 480-nucleotide ribosomal RNA is filed under the name uncultured bacterium. Its description in RNAcentral is "partial 16S ribosomal RNA". It matches the Rfam family "Bacterial small subunit ribosomal RNA", at positions 28 to 523 of the family's 1533-position model. The record is from RNAcentral.
GACGAACGCUGGCGGCGUGCUUAACACAUGCAAGUCGAACGGUAAGGCCCUUCGGGGUACACGAGUGGCGAACGGGUGAGUAACACGUGGGUGAUCUGCCCUGCACUUCGGGAUAAGCCUGGGAAACUGGGUCUAAUACCGGAUAGGACCACUGCCUGCAUGGGUGGUGGUGGAAAGCUUUUGGGGUGUGCAGGAUGGGCCCGCGGCCUAUCAGCUCGUUGGUGGGGUGAUGGGCUACCAAGGCGACGACGGGUAGCCGGCCUGAGAGGGGGUCCGGCCAGACUGGGACUGAAGUACGGCCCAAACUCCUACGGGAGGAAGCAGUGGGGAAUAUUGCACAAUGGGGGCAAGCCUGAUGCAGCGACGCCGCGUGAGGGAUGACGGCCUUCGGGUUGUAAACCUCUCUCAGCACCGACGAAGCGCAAGUGACGGUAGGUGCAGAAGAAGGACCGGCCAACUACGUGCCAGCCGCCGCAGUAA